RNAcentral lists this ribosomal RNA (282 nucleotides) under uncultured prokaryote. RNAcentral's name for it is "partial 16S ribosomal RNA". It matches the Rfam family "Bacterial small subunit ribosomal RNA", at positions 524 to 817 of the family's 1533-position model. The record is from RNAcentral.
UACGUAGGGGCAAGCGUUAUCCGGAAUUAUUGGGCGUAAAGAGUGCGUAGGUGGUUACCUAAGCGCAAGGUUUAAUCUUGAGGCUCAACCUCAUUUUGCCUUGCGAACUGGGCUACUUGAGUGCAGGAGGGGAAAGCGGAAUUCCUAGUGUAGCGGUGAAAUGCGUAGAUAUUAGGAAGAACACCGGUGGCGAAGGCGGCUUUCUGGACUGUAACUGACACUGAGGCACGAAAGCGUGGGGAGCAAACAGGAUUAGAUACCCGGGUAGUCCCUGAGCGGGCU